RNAcentral lists this ribosomal RNA (490 nucleotides) under uncultured bacterium. RNAcentral's name for it is "partial 16S ribosomal RNA". It matches the Rfam family "Bacterial small subunit ribosomal RNA", at positions 29 to 507 of the family's 1533-position model. The record is from RNAcentral.
AUUGAACGCUGGCGGCAUGCCUUACACAUGCAAGUCGAACGGCAUCGCGGGAAAGCUUGCUUUCCUGGCGGCGAGUGGCGAACGGGUGAGUAACACAUCGGAACGUACCGGCUAGUGGGGGAUAACCCGUCGAAAGACGGGCUAAUACCGCAUACGCUCUUCGGAGGAAAGCAGGGGACCUUUUGGCCUUGCGCUAGCCGAGCGGCCGAUGUCCGAUUAGCUAGUUGGUGGGGUAAAGGCCUACCAAGGCGACGAUCGGUAGCGGGUCUGAGAGGACGAUCCGCCACACCGGGACUGAGACACGGCCCAGACUCCUACGGGAGGCAGCAGUGGGGAAUCUUGGACAAUGGGGGCAACCCUGAUCCAGCAAUGCCGCGUGGGUGAAGAAGGCCUUCGGGUUGUAAAGCCCUUUCGGCAGGGAAGAAAUCGGCGGGGCGAAUAACCCUGCUGGAUGACGGUACCUGCAGAAGAAGCACCGGCUAACUACGUG